UAAACUGUCUUACUGUAUCACAGAGGAGAUGGACUAUGCCAGGUGUGUUAAAUAGAUGUGUAAAUUUAGUAACUGAGGAGGAGUUAUUAAAGGAUGGAUAUACAUCAUAUUGUUUCAUAGUUUGAAACAGGUCGUAUCGCAGGUCGUUGUACAUAUCACAGUCUACAAGAAAAUGGAUUUCAUUUUCUAUUUUAUCCGAACAGAAGGGACACA
Long non-coding RNA from Haliotis rubra (blacklip abalone), 213 nucleotides. RefSeq lists it as uncharacterized. The record is from RefSeq and is a predicted model, not a curated record. NCBI's taxonomy places the organism in Eukaryota, Metazoa, Mollusca, Gastropoda, Lepetellida, Haliotidae. The transcript has 3 exons.